This 198-nucleotide ribosomal RNA is filed under the name uncultured bacterium. Its description in RNAcentral is "partial 16S ribosomal RNA". It matches the Rfam family "Bacterial small subunit ribosomal RNA", at positions 328 to 539 of the family's 1533-position model. The record is from RNAcentral.
ACGCUCGACACCUACGGAGGCAGCAGUUGGGAAUAUUGGACAAUGGAGGAAACUCUGAUCCAGUGACGCCGCGUGAAGGAAGAAGGUCUUCGGAUUGUAAACUUAUUUUGUCAGGGAAGAAAAAUGGCUGUACCUGAAGAAAAAGCACCGGCUAACUACGUGCCAGCAGCCGCGGUAAUCUGAGCGGGCUGGCAAGGC